CUUUCCAACAUGGCUGCACCCACCAGAGAGGCCGGAGAGUUCCUGCUGUUCCGCGUCCUUACCAGUACUUGGAGACGACUUUCAAAAACACCUUCAUGAGCGAAAGAAGACCGGUGCGAAAGAGUCCAUGCCACACGGCUGCAUUUGCAUGACGUUCUGGAACAGAUUCUGCCUGUGGAGAGCAGAUCGUAGGAUUGUUAGAUUUGAAGAAAGAAUGAGUUGGAAGAAAUGAGUGGAUGGUGUUGCAGGCACGAUCACGUGUUCUCAGAUAGAAAUUCCGGGGCUGCCCCCCAAAGCCGAAAGGAAAAGAAACUACACAGAAGAAUCAUCUGGUGGGAAGGUUAGUGCUUGAACCCAGCACGAAAGAGAAACUCACAGCCUAACGUCUAAAACCCAAAGUCGGGGGAGAGCACAAGUGCAGUCCCCCCACCACAAAUUAUGCGGCUGAGCUUCCCACACGUGGGGACACCACAGGGGUCAGCACACCCGGAGUGCAAUGAACCUGCCUCGCCCAGGGAAAACCACCUUCGUGAUCAUGGUAUUGCCCCUGCUCGGUUUCAAGUGGAUCAGCUGCAAGGAAUCUGGUUGGAAGUGAAUGCUCACAGCCACCAGUUCCCGUCUUGAGAACAUUCUUGCACCUUGGGGAGAUUUUGCAAUAUUCAUAUGUGUGUUGAAAGCAAUUUUUCUGCUUCCUAGGUUGUUUCAUUUAAAAAAUUCAUUCUCAGUCAUCCAUGUCCACUUUACCUAUUUAGCUAUGUUUUCCAGAAUAUUUCUACUGUCAUAGUGAGGAAGACAAGAAACAGUGCCUAACAAACAAAGCAUCGCAGACUGAAAAUAGAUUAGGACAUGAAAUUGAAAACAAAAAAUACAAAGCCUGAGAGAGGACUGUAAGAAUGCAAAAAUAUUGCAGCACAAAUGUGCAAAAAUGAUUUCAUAAGGUUCCAAAAUUCUGUCACUAGCUUGCUAG
This is a long non-coding RNA of Phyllostomus hastatus (greater spear-nosed bat), 967 nucleotides long. RefSeq lists it as uncharacterized. NCBI's taxonomy places the organism in Eukaryota, Metazoa, Chordata, Mammalia, Chiroptera, Phyllostomidae. The transcript is spliced from 4 exons. The record is from RefSeq and is a predicted model, not a curated record.